This 2560-nucleotide long non-coding RNA is filed under the name Sparus aurata (gilthead seabream). Its description in RNAcentral is "lncRNA (ENSSAUG00010006625.1)". Lineage: Eukaryota; Metazoa; Chordata; Actinopteri; Spariformes; Sparidae. The record is from RNAcentral.
AUGAGCGGCUGGAGGAAAUGUAUAAACCCAACAUCACAUAAUUCAGUAAGUGUGAAGUCGUCAGUCUGCAGAUUUAGAGGACGUGCCCGGAGUUUUAAAACGUUUUCCUUUAAGGUCGCAGGAUUCAGGGCUCGACUUCUCUGUAAAAGGAUUGGUUUCCGUUUGUUUUUGUCUUCUAAAGUACCUAUUCUCCGUUUCUCCUUUCAGCUCGGAGGUUUAUGGAGGUCUCUUAGGGGUUUUUUUUUUUUUUUUUUUUUCUGUUCCUCAGAAGCCGUCUGCUGGCUGUCGUCCAUCAGCUGCAGUUUCUUUUCUCUCCUCUUUAAAAUGAGCAUCAGAACCUUUUUCCUGCAACAAAAAGCGAGUGAAGAAAGUGUUCAGGACUUCAGCUGUGAAGAUGAACCGGAUCCCCUGAGACCACCAGCAGCCCACAAAUCAAUAAAAACAACACAACAAAUAAAACAUAAAAUAACAAAACAAUAACCAGAACAACAGAAAUAUUGUUUCAAAACUCGUAUUAACACAUAAACUAAAAAAUAAUAAUAAAGUGUGAACAGUGAAUACCAGAGAAAAUUACCACACGGAAUAAAAGCAGCAAAAUGUGAAAAUUAACACAAUAAUUUCUUGUGCAUGUCGCUCACAAAAUAAAUACUUACACAAUGUUUAUUACAGCUGCUUGUUUGUAUUCAGGCCUGCAGAUCUGCUGCUGAACAACAUCCGGACAUUUAAUCUCUUCUGUCAUUUUUAUUCAUCUAAUAACACAAAGACAAUAAAACUCAACAUGUAUUAUUAUUAUUAUUAUUAUUAUUAUUAUUAUUAUUAUUAUUAUUAUUAUUAUUAUUAUUAUUAUUAAUAAUAAUAAUAAUAAUAUUAUUUGCAUUAAUUUAUAAGCUGCAUACACACGUGUGUUGGUGGUUUAUAACACUGUGAUGUAUUUGUAAGCAGCUCCAAGGAUAUUUUUUAAAUUUAUUUAUUAACACAGUUUUUGUCCACAGUUAUAAUUUCUAUAUUUAUUUUUUUAUUCCAGCUGUUUGACAGUUGUGUCGUUAAUUAUAUCAGUAAAAUAUGUUGCUAGAUGCAUAAAUUAACAUUUAUAUCUGCCUGCAUUAUAUUUAGUUAUAAACAUUUUAUUUACACAAGAAGAAAUUUCACAUUUAAAAACUUUAUUACGCAGCAAAUUCAUAACAAAAAAUAAUAUUCUUGGUUUUAUAAUAAACUGAAGCUUGUUGUUAUUUUGUGGCGUCAAAAAAAAAAAAGUUGGAAUCACAUUUUAUUUGAUUUUUCGUUUGAUGUAAAUCAACACUUCGUUAUUUUUUAGAUUUCAUAUUUAAAUGUUCAGAUUUUCGUUUUUAUUAUAAAUCAUUUCUUUCGUCUCUUCAGUCGUGAGAAUCUUUAUUUGUAAAUAAAAUAAAAUAUAAUUGAUUGCAGCGCUGAAAAUGUUCUUAAGUGGAAAGGAAUCAAAUUUAAACUUGAACAUGUUUAAAUAUAUAAAUAUAUUGUGGCGCAGCAGCUUCAGCUCCUUGUUGUGUUUGUUGUUUGGUUGUGUGUGUUUCCCUCUUCAGGCCUCACUGUUUUAUUUCUCUCCCUCUUUUCUUCAGACUCCUCUCUGUUGCUUUCAUCGAGGUGUUGUCGUUCUGAAAAACCUGAAAAACUCUAAAUUCACAUCUCUGUGCGUAAAGGCGCAUCCGGGAAAAAAAGAAAAAAAGAAAAAGAAAAGACGGGAUGUGAGGAGAGAGGAGAGAGCGCGCGGGCUGUUCCUCGUGUUGUUUCUUUAGCAGUAAAAAAAUAAAUAAAAAAAUAUAUCAGUGAGAGUCGAGGAGUGUUUUUUCAGCCGCGGGUGGAUUUUGGGCAUCUAAAAAGCUGCUGCGUAAAAAGAAAAGAGGAGGAGAAGAAGAAAAAAAAAGCGCUCGAGUCAAAGUUUGUGACUCAGAGACCCGAAAGCCCACCCAGGCUGAGAUCGAUGACUCCAAAUCCAUUCUCUGUUCAAUAUCUCGAUCCGUUUUCUGUCUCGAGUUCACCCGCGUGUGCAGCUCCGUGUCCUCUCUGAGGCGCGCGUAAAAAGAGGAGGCUGGGUCCAAAUCUGAUCCAAAACUCUGACAGCUCCUGACCUCGCGGCCGCUGCGCGUCUGGCGCACUGCGAUUAGGAAGAAGAAAAAAAAAAUGAUGUCACGCGAAGCCACAAGGGGACCUGGGAUUUACCAAAUACCUUCCAGUUGAGCAGGAGUCCUGCCAAGUAAGGGACAACCUCCUCCUCCUCCUCCUCCUCCUCUCCUCCUCCUCUUCCAGCGGCGACAAGUGCAGAGAAUCGACGGAGGAGAAUUGAGCAAAUUAUCUACUUUUUGCGCGCUCCUUCCUGGACGGUAACGAUCGACGAGGUCUCGGCUCUCCGCACGCCGUUAUCGAGCGAGCCGCGGCCGUCAAUAAGUGAGGGGAACUGGGCUGCCGAUUAGGAGAGGGGGGGUUCCCCGGCAGAUGAUGCCCUUUCCUGCGGGCCGGUGAGGAGCAGCACCGACCCCCGGCUUCCCUCCAGCAGCUUCUCGUUGUUGUUGUUGUUUUUGUCGCG